RNAcentral lists this ribosomal RNA (655 nucleotides) under uncultured Tomentellopsis. Its description in RNAcentral is "eukaryotic LSU rRNA". The stretch from base 265 to 418 matches the Rfam family "5.8S ribosomal RNA". The record is from RNAcentral. Lineage: Eukaryota; Fungi; Basidiomycota; Agaricomycetes; Thelephorales; Thelephoraceae.
AGUAAAAGUCGUAACAAGGUUUCCGUAGGUGAACCUGCGGAAGGAUCAUUAAUGAAACGUUUGCCGUGAAGGGUUGUAGCUGGCCCCCCGGGGCACACGUGCACGCCCGGAUCGCAUCCACCUCCAACACCUGUGCACAACCUGUAGCCUGGGAUGAUCACGAGGCCCUCGUUGGCCGCGAAUGCCCUCGUCUACGAGUAUUUCACACACACCAGCAGUCACAUGGAAUGUACACACGAAGCGUCUAACAAGCGCAACGAAUACAACUUUCAACAACGGAUCUCUUGGCUCUCGCAUCGAUGAAGAACGCAGCGAAAUGCGAUAAGUAAUGUGAAUUGCAGAAUUCAGUGAAUCAUCGAAUCUUUGAACGCACCUUGCGCUCCUUGGUAUUCCGAGGAGCAUGCCUGUUUGAGUGUCAUGAAAUUCUCAACUGCCCCAAGCUUUUUGUGGGCGAGGUUGGAUCYUUGGAGGACGUUGCUGGUGCGUGCUCCGUGCACGCUUGUCGGCUCCUCUCGAAUGCAUGAGCUUUCCGGUCCUUGGCAAAGUAUCGUCGAUGUGAUAGUUAUCUGCGUCGUCUGAGAAAAGCCGUGUAAGGGGAAAUCUACGAUCGUAUCGGCCCUUCGGGGUUCCGUGUCUGACAAAUUCGACCUCAAAU